Long non-coding RNA from Fukomys damarensis (Damara mole-rat), 451 nucleotides. RefSeq lists it as uncharacterized. Lineage: Eukaryota; Metazoa; Chordata; Mammalia; Rodentia; Bathyergidae. The transcript has 3 exons. The record is from RefSeq and is a predicted model, not a curated record.
GGGAAGGAAGGAGGAACAAAAAGGAGGACGAGCGAAAGAAGAGAGGACAGAAGAUGGGAGGACAACAAAAUAAAGAAGCCAGUUGUUGGAGAACAGAAAGAAAGAAGUCUGUAAUAAAAAGAGUAAAGCAGAUGAGUAAUCCGAGAGGCAUUGGAGUAAAACUGACACUUUAAUUUCAAGAAGUAAUACUAGAGAGGAAGAGGAAAGGGUCAGUGAUUUUAUCAUACCAAAAUGACCAUCGCCAGGAUCAGUCCAAGCAGCCAGAAGCCUGAAAUUAAGAGUGAAGACUGAUGCAGCCCGGUCCAAGGCUAAAGGCCAGGAAGCUACCUGGAGAGAACCGGUGCAAGCCGUGUGCGAUGGCUGAGGAAUCUCGAACCUGACGUCCUUAGGCAAGAGCAGAACAGAAAAAUCACACAUGAAAACAAACAAACAAACAAAAACAACUGCUUAA